Molecule: non-coding RNA, 180 nt
Filed under: Peptoniphilus sp.
Lineage: Bacteria; Bacillati; Bacillota; Tissierellia; Tissierellales; Peptoniphilaceae
Description: 6S RNA
Rfam family: 6S / SsrS RNA
About the family: E. coli 6S RNA was the first non coding RNA to be sequenced, but its function was unknown until recently. It consists of 184 nucleotides that fold into an extended hairpin structure with a large single-stranded internal bulge.
Source: RNAcentral
CAUACUCUGCGAUGUGCGAAAAAGCUUAUUUAAUUCAACCGACAUAAGAGAUCCGGGAAACCAAAUUUUUUGAUGGAUAACAGGCCGCGGAAUUGUGGAAGUUAGAAAUCAGGAUGAGGUCAACCACACUGAGUGAGGGCGGGUCUGAAUUAAUAAGUGAUACGGCAUUGUGGAGUUUUU